GGUAUUGACAGAUAUUGAAAGGUAUUGACAGAUAUUAAAAGGCAUUGACAGAUAUUAAAAGGUAUUGAAAAGGUAUUGACAGAUAUUAAAAGGCAUUGACAGAUAUUAAAAGGUAUUGACAGAUAUUAAAAGGUAUUGACAGAUAUUAAAAGGCAUUGACAGAUAUUAAAAGGCAUUGACAGGUAUUAAAAGGCAUUGACAGGUAUUAAAAGGCAUUGACAGGUAUUAAAAGGCAUUGACAGAUAUUAAAAGGUAUUGACAGAUAUUAAAAGGUAUUGACAGAUAUUAAAAGGUAUUGACAGAUAUUAAAAGGUAUUGACAGGUAUUAAAAGGCAUUGACAGAUAUUAAAAGGUAUUGACAGAUAUUAAAAGGUAUUGACAGAUAUUAAAAGGUAUUGACAGAUAUUGAAAGGUAUUGACAGAUAUUAAAAGGCAUUGACAGGUAUUAAAAGGUAUUGACAGAUAUUAAAAGGUAUUGACAGGUAUUAAAAGGCAUUGACAGAUAUUAAAAGGUAUUGACAGAUAUUAAAAGGCAUUGACAGGUAUUAAAAGGUAUUGACAGAUAUUAAAAGGUAUUGACAGAUAUUAAAAGGUAUUGACAGGUAUUAAAAGGCAUUGACAGAUAUUAAAAGGUAUUGACAGAUAUUAAAAGGUAUUGACAGAUAUUAAAAGGUAUUAAAAGGUAUUGACAGAUAUUAAAAGGUAUUGAACGUUUUAUUACUUAAACUCUUUUCUUUCCAUUUGUAUAAAAUAAUAUACUUUUUUGGAAUAUAGUGUGUUUUGGAACACGCUAUAGCUCAGUAUUUAGAUUUAUUUUAUACUGUCUUUUUCCCCCUCAUCUUUAGCAAAGAGUGCUAAUCAUUUUGGAUCUGACUGUAAGUGUUUCAUAUGAAUGUAUGUAAUGUGGCACGUAUGUUUGCAGUCAUGUCACAGUGAAGAUACGACGAAGUGGUUAAUAUAUGAUAAGUGAUUAACUUAUAGCUUCCAACUAAGCACUUAUCACGAUGAGUGAUUAUUGUAUAAGACAACAGCUUCUGUAGCGUUUGUGCCUUAGCUGAGGAGGAGGUGGGAGACAGUUUGUUUAGAAGCACAGCCUGUUUUUUCAUGCGGUUCUAAGAACACCAGGAGCCUGUUUUUUCAUGCGGUUCUAAGAACACCAGGAGCCUGUUUUUUCAUACGGUUCUAAGAACACCAGGAGCCUGUUUUUUCAUGUGGUUCUAAGAACACCAGGAGCCUGUUUUUUCAUACGGUUCUAAGAACACCAGGAGCCUGUUUUUUCAUGCGGUUCUAAGAACACCAGGAGCCUGUUUUUUCAUACGGUUCUAAGAACACCAGGAGCCUGUUUUUUCAUACGGUUCUAAGAACACCAGGAGCCUGUUUUUUCAUGCGGUUCUAAGAACACCAGGAGCCUGUUUUUU
Long non-coding RNA from Oncorhynchus keta (chum salmon), 1418 nucleotides. RefSeq lists it as uncharacterized. The transcript is spliced from 6 exons. Lineage: Eukaryota; Metazoa; Chordata; Actinopteri; Salmoniformes; Salmonidae. The record is from RefSeq and is a predicted model, not a curated record.